RNAcentral lists this ribosomal RNA (484 nucleotides) under uncultured bacterium. Its description in RNAcentral is "partial 16S ribosomal RNA". It matches the Rfam family "Bacterial small subunit ribosomal RNA", at positions 29 to 507 of the family's 1533-position model. The record is from RNAcentral.
AUUGAACGCUGGCGGCAUGCUUUACACAUGCAAGUCGAACGGCAGCGCGGGCUUCGGCCUGGCGGCGAGUGGCGAACGGGUGAGUAAUACAUCGGAACGUGCCCAGGAGUGGGGGAUAGCUCGGCGAAAGCCGGAUUAAUACCGCAUACGACCUGAGGGUGAAAGCGGGGGAUCUUCGGACCUCCCGCUAUUGCAGCGGCCGAUGGCAGAUUAGCCCGUUGGUGGGGUAAAUGCCUACCAAGGCGACGAUCUGUAGCUGGUCUGAGAGGACGACCAGCCAGACUGGGACUGAGGCACGGCCCAGACUCCUAAGGGAGGCAGCGGUGGGGAAUUUUGGACAAUGGGCGAAAGCCUGAUCCAGCAAUGCGGCGUGUGUGAUGAAGGCCUUCGGGUUCUAAAGCACUUUGGGCGGGAACGAAAAGGACUGUGCCAAUACCACGGUUCGAUGACGGUAGCCGCAGGAUAAGCACCGGCUAACUACGUG